AAAAAAAAAAAAGGAGUUCCCGUCAUGGCUCAGUGGUUAACGAAUCUGACUAGGAACCAUGAGGUUGCAGGUUCGAUUGCUGAGCUCCCUCAAUAGGCUAUGGAUCUCGUGUUGCCUGUGAGUUGUGGUGUAGGUCGCAGAUGCGUCUUGGAUCCUGUGUUGCUGUGGCUGUGGCGUAGGCUAGGAGCUACAGCUCCGAUUUGACCCCUAGCCUGGGAACCUCCAUAUGCCACAGAUGCGGCCCUGGAAAAGACAAAAAGACCGAGGGAAAAAAAAAAAAAACGAAAGAAAGAAAUUGGAAGUUUAAAGAUGAGAUAGGGAUAGCAGACUUGUGGGUUCCAGGGAGAAAGGGGAGAGGAAGUGGGAUGGACAGGGACUUUGGGGUUGGUAGAUGCAAACUAUUACAUUUAGAAUGGAUAAACAAUGACGUCCUACCAUACAGCACAGGGAACUAUAUUCAGUCUCUUUGGGUAGAACAUGAUGGAAAAUACUAUGAGAAGAAGAAUGUAUAUAUGUAUGUAUGACUGGGUCACCAUGCUGUAUAGUAGAGAUUGACACAACACUGUAAGCCAACUACAUUCCAAUGAAAAAUAAUUUUAAAAAAAGAAAAAAGAGGAUUUGAGAGGAAGAUGUCUUUGAUGUGAAGUGUGCUUUGAAUCCCACACCCCCAGGGAAGGGAUAGGGUGAGGGCACAUCCCUGUUCCUUCAAGACAACUGGGAGGGCCUCCAUGGGGCCCCUUGGAGAGGCUGGUAAAGGUCCUCUGACGUGAGGGUGACUUGGAGGGCUGAUUGCCUCCUGCCUGGGAGAGUUGGCAGCAGAGGCAGCCUGGCAAGCUACCCAUGGCUGAAAGGAAGGGGCGGUGGAGGCGCUGGAGAAGCCUGCCUCCCAGAAUCUGUCAGGUCAAAGAUUUGUGUACUUCCUGAAGAACAGACAUGCACCAUGUGGAAGAGAGGGCAGGCCUAGAGCCCCUGAAAUUGUACUCAAGCAACCUCCAGGGAAAGGAUAACUAAAUAGCGAGGCUAUGUGAACCAGACUGCCAGGAAAGGGGGUCUGGGCAUCGGGAGGAGAAGCCAGCUUACAGGAGACUCAUCACUCACUCCCUGGAAGUGUCAUUAAAUGCUUUCAGUGAACACCUUUGUGGAGGCCACAAAUCCUGUACCCUUUUCCAACUUUAAUCAUCUUAAAAAAUUAAAUUAUAGUUGAUGUACAAUGCUAUACAAGUUAUAGGUGUACAGGAUAGUGAUUCACAAUUUUUAAAGUAUAAUACCUAUACUCCAAUUAUAGAUAUUAUAAAACAUUGGCUAUACUCCCUGUGUUGUACAAUCCAUCCUGGUAGCUUAUUUUGUACCUCUUAAUCCUCCACCCUUAUGUUGCCUCUCCACCCUUCCCACUCUCCACUAGUAACUAAUAGUUUGUUCUCUAUAUCCGUGGGUCUGUCUCUUUUUUGUUAUUAGUUUGUUGUAUUUUUUAGAUUCCAUAUAUAAGUGAUAUUGUACUGUAUUUGUUUUUCUCUGCCUGACGACUUUCAGUUAAGUAUAACACCCUCCAAGUUCAUCCAUGUUGUUGUAGAAGCCAUUAUUUCAUUCUUUUUUUAUGGUUGAGUAGUGUUCCAUUGUAUAUAUGUACCACACCUUCUUUAUCCAUCAUCUGUUGGUAGACAAUUAUGUUGUUUCCAUGUCUUAGCUAUUGUAAAUAAUGCUGCUGUGAAUGUUGGGAUGCAUGUAUCUUUUCUUUUUUUUUUUGGAUGAUUCUCAUGAAGGAAACCCUCCUGUCUUGCCCAUUACCCUUUUCUCUUCUCACUUUGUCCCUCUACCAGUCCAGCUCCAGAAUGCACUCACAGACCAGAGUUAGCAAGUUGUGGGAGGAAGAGCUGGGCUGUGAGAUGAGGAAGACACAGUCUAUAAACCUCCCCUGGACCGCAGUAGGCCAGAGCUGGAAGAGGAAGAAGUACUCAUCUUAAAUGAACUUGGAGGCUUUGGUUUUUACAUGGCCUCUUGUGAAUCGAGACUGACUACACCAAACUUUUGAUUAUCUAAAGGUGAACAAGGAAUCAGGGGGCCUACCUCCACUUUUAUAUAGGAAUGUAGCAAGGACUACCCCUGUCAAGAGGUUGGAAGGACAAUGAGAGACAUCUAUAAAGUUGCUUUUUGAGGUGUAGCCCCGUGUCCUACAUGAGCACGAGUCCAGUUUGCCUCUUUGACUCAUUGGUUUGUACUCUUCAUGUUGGCUUGUUUGGAUUCUUACUUUGUGCUGUGUUUUUCCAUCCCAUGAGAUUUAUAGUUGUAAAUCUUGUACCAAACUUAUAAUUGGUCCUCAGUACACAUUGGAGACUAAGACGCAUGGGGGAAGCAUUGUAAGUGUGGUUAGUAGAGUAGAGACCACCUUCCAGGUGCUGGCCUUUCCAUUUGGUCAUCUGGAUUUCACCCCAGCCCUUUUGUACACUCAGUGAGCACUGAGCAUUCAGUGCCUAGUCCCCAAAUAACCUUUCUUCUUGUGUCACAAGUAUGACACCAUUCUAACCAACGCAGCUUUGAGACUCAUUUUGAAUGCACCUUCAUUUUCCCAUCUUCUAGCACUAUUUGUCUUUGUAUGGCUCUCUCUGAGGGCCAAGACAGUAUCGUACAUAUCUCUGAAUCCCCAGCACAGUGUCUGGCACAUAGAAACUGCUCAGGAAGUACAAGAAAAAGGGUUGAACACAGCAAAUCUGAAAUCCCCAUGAAACUCCAGCCAUCAGGCCUAUUGGGCCAGGAAGAAAGAUAACUCCAGUACUGCCCUGACAUUGUUUGAAUGUAGUUUAUACAAAGAUUAAGAUUAGGAGCUGCAGGAGUUCCUGCCCUGGCUCAGUGGUAACGAACCCGACUAGGAUUCAAGAGGACCUGGGGUUGAUCCCUGGCCUUGCUCAGUGGGUUAAGGAUCUGGCAUUGCUAUGACCUGCGGUGUAGGUGGCAGACACGGCUUAGAUCCUACAUUGCUGUGGCUGUGGUGUAGGCCAGCAGCUGCAGCUUGGAUUCGACCCCUAGCCUGAGAACUUCCAUAUGCCGCAAGUGCAAAAAAACAAAAAAAUUAGGAGCUGUGACUGAGAGGGCCUGAAUCCUAGGUCUACCAGUUGCUUGGGAAGGGUGUAUUUUCUUGUUAGACUUAGUCUGUGGCACAAUAAUGAGGGCAGUAAUAUUCAAAGCAAAUGAGAUGUGAAAAUUAUCAGGUAAAAGCAUCUCUAGUUUGGUGCCUGGUAAAGGACAGGUUUUCUGUCUCUCUGUCUUUUCUCCCUCUCCCUCCUUCUCUCUCUCUCUCUAUAUAUAUAUAUAUAAAUUUUAACACCCUCCUCCUCCUUAUCCCCCAUACUUGAAACCCAAGGAGCAUCUUUGAGUAGAAGUCAUAGAAAGAGCUUAGCAAUAACAGUCAAAGUCGAGGAUACGGUCACUUUGGAAGAGAGUGGAGUAAAAUAGCAUUAUCUGAUAACACAGUGUAAGGAAUAUGGGAAUUGGAGGGACAAGAUUUGAGUUGAGUUUGAGCCCUGUCCUGUCACAUAUCAACUGACAACAUUGGCAAGUCAAUGAAUUUUCUGAGCCUCUUUCAUUCACUGUUAAAUCUGGUCAAUAAGAUGGUUCUGUGCUUCCUGGGGACAGAAUCUUGUCUUAUGUACCUCCUUGUCCUUAGCACAUAUCAAAGUGCCUGGUGUUUGAUGAUAAUAACAAUAUAGGUCAUAAUAAAUGACUCUUUUCUAAAAAUUUGAAGGUACCAGUUCUUAUUGCACCGCGAAGAAGUUAAUGCUCUUAAAUUUUAAUGAAUACUUGAGGAAUGAAAUUUCACUAAUAUAUCCAUAUAUUAAAUCAAAAGCAACAAUGUUAGGCACAAGUGGUGUGUCAACUUCAAGUGCCAUAAAAAUAUAAGAUAGCUUUAAAAAAAAUUUAUGGGAGCUCCCAUCAUGGCUCAGUGGUAAUGAACCCGACUAGUAUCCAUGAAGAUGUGGGUUCGAUCCCUGGCCUCACUCAGCGGGUUGAGGAUCCAGCAUUGCUGUGACUUGUGGCAUAGGUUGCAGACUUGGCUCAGAUCCCACGUUGCCGUGGCUGUGGUGUAUGUUGGCAGCUGUAGCUCUGAUUUGACCCCUUGCCUGGAAACUUCCAUAUGUUGCGGGUGCAGCCCUAAAAAACAACAACAAAAAAGAGUUUAUGGCCACAUCUGCAGCAUAUGGAAGACCAGGGAUUGAAUCUAAGCCACAGUUGUGGCAGUGCUGGAUCCUGUAACCUACUGCAUUGGACUGGGGAAUGGAACCCACAAGCUCUACAGUGAACUAAGAUGCUGCAGUUGAAUUCUUAACCCACUGUGCCACACCAGAACCUCCUAAAAUAGCAUUUUAUUUCUCUAUUUCUCUGCUUUGAUCUAGAAGACAGACUGCUAGCAAUUGUCAUACAAAAAGGGAGGGGAAUCCUUUACAGAGAUUUUACCCAUAGUGCCCUUUGUUUCUGCUCUCCAUUUAAUAUUUGCUACAGCUCUUUGAGGAAGAUAGAACUACCCCAUUUUAAAGAGUUGGAAAUGGAAGCUCAGGUAAAUUAAGUAACUUAGUGACUUGCUCAACAAUGGCUUGCCAAAUCUUCGGUGGCAGAGUUAUGAUCUGAAUUGAAAUUGGUGCUUUGCAAAGCCCAGACACUUGUAGCGAUGGCUGGGGAGGGAAAGAGGAGGGAGAAUGAGGCUGCAAAUGAGUAUGCAGUGGGUGAGAGCAGGGGUCAAAAACAUCCGAAGAAGAACAGAAGCCUUGCGACCCCCCUGCCUCCAGCCCCAUUUCAAAUGUUUUUCUUAUGCUGACAGUCAGAAGAAGGGGUCCGUGUGCACCUCUGUUCCCGGGAAAGGCCAACAGUCACUCUGCUUGGAACAGAAAAGGCUAAGGGGAGUCUGUUAUUUCCAGAGAAAUCUGAGAGGGCAGAAGGAGGUCAGACCGUGGGCAUGUGUGUCUGUGGGCUCUUUGACAUCAUGUGAACAUGGUGGUUGUUCUGGUUGGAUUAUACUUUUAACUCUUUUCCCAAGUGCUGAGGAGGCCACACAGCAGGAGGCCUGAGGGCGAAGAAAGUUGGACUGAACUUUGGUGAGAGCCCGGGAUGGGACCUCGUGCCGCCUUGCUCAGGGUCCUCCCCCCGCACCUCAUUUCCCCACCUGGGUAAGGGUGGGCUGGGGCAGCUGGCAGGAAAGGCUCUUCCUGUUCUACACUCUGUGGUCUGACAUUGCAAUUUUUUAUUCUAAUUUCCCACACCCUAAGGAGGGUGAUUCAGGCCUGCCUCUGGGAGAGCAGAGGUAUUACAAACUAAAUUUUUUUUUUUUUUUUUUUUUGUCUUUUUGUCUUUUUGCCUUUUCUAGGGCUGCUCCCGCGGCAUACGGAAGUUCCCAGGCUAGGGGACUAUCGGAGCUGUAGCCGCUGGCCUACACCACAGCCACAGCAACGCAGGAUCCGAGCCAUGUCUGCAACCUACAUCACAGCUCACGGCCACGCCAGAUCCUUAACCCACUGAGCAAGGCCAGGGAUCGAACCCGCAACCUCAUGGUUCCUAGUCAGAUUCGUUAACCACUGUGCCACGACGGGAACUCCAAGCAUUGUUUUAAAAAACGUCAGAUGCUUAUGUUAAAUAACACGAGGUAGAGUGUGUGUGUGUGCGUGUGUGUGUGUGUGUGGUGGAGGUGGAGGGCAGAAAGGGGGUUAUCUAAAAUGUAGAGUCUCUGUUUUUAAUCUCAAGUCUACCCAGUAUUAACUAUGAAAUCUUGAACAAGUCAUCAACCCCUCUAGGCUUCUGUUUCAUUCUCUACAAAGAGAGUCAUGGUAGCACCUACCUGGUUGUUCGAGGGGGGAGCCCAUUUCUGCGAAGCACUUAGAAGCCUGCCUGACUCAGAGAGAGCACUCGUGACAUCAGCUACUUCUAUGAAUUCUCACCAGCUCUAAUUGUCAUUUUGCACAUGAGAAAAUGGACCUUCAGAAAGUUGAAAUGAUUUGCUUGAGGUCAAAGAUGUGCUAGGAAGAAGAGUGAGAGGGUUAGGAUGUUAUAACUGUGUUUCAACCUGACACCCAGAAAUGCCUGGGGUGUGCCCAGCUGCUCACUGCCCCUUCCUAACCGUGGUCAGUGUCUGCACUGAGGCAGGUGGGCAAGGGAGGAAGCAGACCACAGUGUGCCGGCCCCAAAGGCACAGCUCCCAGUAGGGGAGCAGCACACUCUGUGACUAACUCGGACUUGACCUCAGGCUAUUGCUUAUUUCCAGGAGUCAGGAAACUGGGAAUGGUGGGGAGAGGGUGGGCAGGCAGAGUGGUGAAAGCAUGGGAAAGGGGGGUCUUUCCUCAAUAGCAGUUAUAAUUUAACUGCAUCUCGAUCAUGUUCAAGGCCAUUCAUAAACUGUCCCCAUUCCCACCUUUCAAGCUUAUCUCCAUGCUGUUUGUGUUUCAGCCCCAUCUGGAUCCUCCAAAUCCUGGGUCCUCUGAACACCAGCCCACCAGCCUGCUCUAGGAAACAGGGUGACCCGACAUUCCCCACCCCCAUCUUAAUCCUUCCUGUUGAGAUAAAGAAAAACCUUAUUAAAAAUUUCCAUCUUAUUGUUAAUUUGGAUUAAGCCUGACCAAGGGAUCACCAUGUGUUGGUAUCCUCUGAAACUGCAAAAUCUUUCCCCGGGGAGGGGGUGGGACACACUGAACUUAGAUGAAACAAUUGCCACAACAUAAAAUUGGCAAUAGCUCAAACUGCAUAUGCCAAUCUCUGUUAUUGA
RNAcentral lists this long non-coding RNA (6739 nucleotides) under Sus scrofa (pig). RNAcentral describes it as "lncRNA (ENSSSCG00060045064.1)". Lineage: Eukaryota; Metazoa; Chordata; Mammalia; Artiodactyla; Suidae. The record is from RNAcentral.